UACGUAGGCAGCGAGCGUUGUUCGGAGUUACUGGGCGUAAAGGGCGCGUAGGCGGCGUGACAAGUCACUUGUGAAAUCUCCGGGCUUAACCCGGAGCGGUCAAGUGAUACUGUCGUGCUAGAGUGCGGAAGGGGCUACUGGAAUUCUCGGUGUAGCGGUGAAAUGCGUAGAUAUCAAGAGGAACACCUGCGGCGAAGGCGGGUAGCUGGGCCGACACUGACGCUGAUGCGCGAAAGCCAGGGGAGCGAACGGG
RNAcentral lists this ribosomal RNA (253 nucleotides) under uncultured bacterium. RNAcentral describes it as "partial 16S ribosomal RNA". It matches the Rfam family "Bacterial small subunit ribosomal RNA", at positions 524 to 776 of the family's 1533-position model. The record is from RNAcentral.